AGUAAAAGUCGUAACAAGGUCUCCGUAGGUGAACCUGCGGAGGGAUCAUUACAAGUGACCCCGGUCUUACCACCGGGAUGUUCAUAACCCUUUGUUGUCCGACUCUGUUGCCUCCGGGGCGACCCUGCCUUCGGGCGGGGGCUCCGGGUGGACACUUCAAACACUUGCGUAACUUUGCAGUCUGAGUAAACUUAAUUAAUAAAUUAAAACUUUUAACAACGGAUCUCUUGGCUCUGGCAUCGAUGAAGAACGCAGCGAAAUGCGAUAAGUAAUGUGAAUUGCAGAAUUCAGUGAAUCAUCGAAUCUUUGAACGCACAUUGCGCCCCCUGGUAUUCCGGGGGGCAUGCCUGUUCGAGCGUCAUUUCACCACUCAAGCCUCGCUUGGUAUUGGGCAACGCGGUCCGCCGCGUGCCUCAAAUCGACCGGCUGGGUCUUCUGUCCCCUAAGCGUUGUGGAAACUAUUCGCUAAAGGGUGUUCGGGAGGCUACGCCGUAAAACAACCCCAUUUCUAAGGUUGACCUCGGAUCAGGUAGGGAUACCCGCUGAACUUAAGCAUAUCAAUAAGCGGAGGAAAAGAAACCAACAGGGAUUGCCCCAGUAACG
This 603-nucleotide ribosomal RNA is filed under the name uncultured fungus. RNAcentral's name for it is "eukaryotic LSU rRNA". The stretch from base 208 to 361 matches the Rfam family "5.8S ribosomal RNA". Lineage: Eukaryota; Fungi. The record is from RNAcentral.